GUGAUCCUUUGGGCGGCACAUAUACUAAAAUUGGAAUGAUACAGAUAAGGUUAGCAUGGCUCCUGUGCGAGGAUGACACACAAAUCUGUGAAAAAAAAAUCUAAUCA
Small nuclear RNA from Suncus etruscus (white-toothed pygmy shrew), 107 nucleotides. Lineage: Eukaryota; Metazoa; Chordata; Mammalia; Eulipotyphla; Soricidae. The record is from RefSeq and is a predicted model, not a curated record.